This 87-nucleotide transfer RNA is filed under the name Gammaproteobacteria bacterium. RNAcentral's name for it is "tRNA-Leu". It matches the Rfam family "tRNA". From Rfam's summary of the family: Transfer RNA (tRNA) molecules are approximately 80 nucleotides in length. Their secondary structure includes four short double-helical elements and three loops (D, anti-codon, and T loops). Lineage: Bacteria; Pseudomonadati; Pseudomonadota; Gammaproteobacteria. The record is from RNAcentral.
GCCCGGAUGGCGGAAUUGGUAGACGCAACGGACUUAAAAUCCGUUGGCCGCAAGGCCGUGCCGGUUCGAUCCCGGCUCCGGGCACCA